GACGAACGCUGGCGGCGUGCUUAACACAUGCAAGUCGAACGGAGUGGCGAACGGGUGAGUAACACGUGGGUGAUCUGCCUUGCACUCUGGGAUAAGCUUUGGAAACUGGGUCUAAUACCGGCUAUUGCAAGAUGAGCUCGCGGCCUAUCAGCUUGUUGGUGGGGUAAGGGCCUACCAAGGCGUCGGCGGGUAGCCGGCCUGAGAGGGUGUACGGCGACAUUGGGACUGAGAUACGGCCCAGACUCGUACGGGAGGCAGCAGUGGGGAAUAUUGCACAAUGGGCGGAAGCCUGAUGCAGCGACGCCGCGUGGGGGAUGACGGCCUUCGGGUUGUAAACUCCUUUCGACAGGGACGCGGUACCUGUAGAAGAAGCACCGGCUAACUACGUGCCAGCAGCCGCGGUAAUUC
This 408-nucleotide ribosomal RNA is filed under the name uncultured bacterium. Its description in RNAcentral is "partial 16S ribosomal RNA". It matches the Rfam family "Bacterial small subunit ribosomal RNA", at positions 28 to 526 of the family's 1533-position model. The record is from RNAcentral.